RNAcentral lists this long non-coding RNA (1346 nucleotides) under Brassica napus (rape). Its description in RNAcentral is "long non-coding RNA (BNAP_LNC003582)". Lineage: Eukaryota; Viridiplantae; Streptophyta; Magnoliopsida; Brassicales; Brassicaceae. The record is from RNAcentral.
UAAGUGCAGGUCACUGAUUUUGACAUAAUUAGACAACUAACAAUUGUGUCUCUUUUGAUUUGGUUUUAACCAUUUCUCAUACAAGUAGCAUGUGAAAGGGAAGAAGGUGAGUUGACGUAGACAAAGAAAAAUAUGGCUAGUAUUAUAGAAAAUAAUAUAUGGUAAGGAGUGGAGAAAAAAAGAGACAUCCACGUUACAUAUUUAUUGACCACAUAUGUAUGUACUGAAUAUUAUAUUCCAUACCACACGAAGUAGUAUAGAAGGACUAAAACCACUUCCAUAAUCCUUAAAUAUUAAACACUAUCUCAACUUCUAAAUACUGAAUCAUAAAUCAUAAUCCAAAUAUAAACUAUAAUUAGGUGACUAAAUGACACUAAAAUGAAUAGAUAAAAUAUAAGACUUUUCAAUGAAGAAUGCAUUCCAUAUUAACCCAAUACACAACUUUUAAAUACUAAACACAAACCAAACUUUAAAAUAUUAAACUCAAAUAUAAACCUUAAUUAUCAGCCCUAAACUCAAUUAUCAAAAUAUGAAAAUAUUAUAAUAUUAAACUAAAUCCUGGCCUAACUUUUAAAUAGUGCAGGGCUCUAACCCAACACACAACUUCUAAAUCCUAAUUACAGACCUAACUUUUGAAUACUAAACCCUAAAUCCUAAUUACUAAACCCAAACCUCAACUUAUAUUUUUCAAAUACUAAACCCUAAAUCCUAAUUACUAAACCCUAAACUCAAAUAGAAUGGAACAAAAUACAUAGUAUAAUACAUAUUGGGGAACAAAAUAGAACACUCUUUAUUAAUCGAGAAAUGGAACGAUAAUGAUAGGAUCACUAAACUCAAAUCUCAACCCUACCUUCCAAAUAAUAAACCAUAAAUCUUAAUUAUUAAACCCUAAACCCAAGUAUAAACCCUAAACCCAAAUAGAAUGGAACAAAAUACCAUAUUUCUCAAAUGUUGAUAUGGCUAUGCCUUCAUGGAAGAUGGUAAUGUUUGCUUCAAUGUCAAUCCCAAUCGUACAUAAACUAAACCCAAUCAACUAAUCAUUAAACCCAAUCAACUAAUCACUAAUCAAUAAAUAGAAUAGUACAAACUGAUGAAAUUAUGAAAUGUUUAUGAUUGCAUGUAAGAAGUUAAUGAUGAUCCCAACCCCAACUACCUAUUAUUAAAUACUAAACUCUAAACUCUAAAUCCUAAUUACUAAACCCUAAACCUAAAUAAAUAGAUUAAGCUAAACCCUAAUCAAGGAAGUAUAAACCCAAAUAGAAUGUAUAUAAUAUGGUUUACUAUACCCAAACCUUUACUUAGUAAAUCUAAACCCUAAGCAUGAACCUAUAAACCCAAAUACAAUC